AUUGAACGCUGGCGGCAGGCCUAACACAUGCAAGUCGAGCGGAUGACGGGAGCUUGCUCCUUGAUUCAGCGGCGGACGGGUGAGUAAUGCCUAGGAAUCUGCCUGGUAGUGGGGGACAACGUUUCGAAAGGAACGCUAAUACCGCAUACGUCCUACGGGAGAAAGCAGGGGACCUUCGGGCCUUGUGCUAUCAGAUGAGCUUAGGUCGGAUUAGCUAGUUGGUGGGGUAAUGGCUCACCAAGGCGACGAUCCGUAACUGGUCUGAGAGGAUGAUCAGUCACACUGGAACUGAGACACGGUCCAGACUCCUACGGGAGGCAGCAGUGGGGAAUAUUGGACAAUGGGCGAAGGCCUGAUCCAGCCAUGCCGCGUGUGUGAAGAAGGUCUUCGGAUUGUAAAGCACUUUAAGUUGGGAGGAAGGGCAGUAAGUUAAUACCUUGCUGUUUUGACGUUACCGACAGAAUAAGCACCGGCUAACUCUGUGCCAGCAGCCGCCGUAA
RNAcentral lists this ribosomal RNA (500 nucleotides) under uncultured bacterium. RNAcentral's name for it is "partial 16S ribosomal RNA". It matches the Rfam family "Bacterial small subunit ribosomal RNA", at positions 30 to 523 of the family's 1533-position model. The record is from RNAcentral.